GACGAACGCUGGCGGCGUGCUUAACACAUGCAAGUCGAACGGAAAGGCCCCUUUGGGGGUACUCGAGUGGCGAACGGGUGAGUAACACGUGAGUAACCUGCCCUUGACUUCGGGAUAACUUCAGGAAACUGGGGCUAAUACCGGAUAGGAAUCCUUGCUGCAUGGUGGGGGUUGGAAAGCUUCGGCGGUUUUGGAUGGACUCGCGGCUUAUCAGCCUGUUGGUGGGGUAGUGGCUUACCAAGGCUUUGACGGGUAGCCGGCCUGAGAGGGCGACCGGCCACAUUGGGACUGAGAUACGGCCCAGACUCCUACGGGAGGCAGCAGUGGGGAAUAUUGCACAAUGGGCGGAAGCCUGAUGCAGCAACGCCGCGUGCGGGAUGACGGCCUUCGGGUUGUAAACCGCUUUCAGCAGGGGCGAAGCUUGUGGUGACGGUACCUGCAGAAGAAGCACCGGCUAACUACGUG
This 465-nucleotide ribosomal RNA is filed under the name uncultured bacterium. RNAcentral describes it as "partial 16S ribosomal RNA". It matches the Rfam family "Bacterial small subunit ribosomal RNA", at positions 28 to 507 of the family's 1533-position model. The record is from RNAcentral.